Molecule: ribosomal RNA, 254 nt
Filed under: uncultured bacterium
Lineage: Bacteria
Description: partial 16S ribosomal RNA
Rfam family: Bacterial small subunit ribosomal RNA
Source: RNAcentral
UACGUAGGUGGCAAGCGUUGUCCGGAUUUAUUGGGUUUAAAGGGUGCGUAGGCGGUCUAUUAAGUCAGUGCUGAAAUAUCCCGGCUUAACCGGGAGGGUGGCAUUGAUACUGAUGGACUUGAGUGCAGUCGAGGUAGGCGGAAUUGACGGUGUAGCGGUGAAAUGCUUAGAUAUCGUCAAGAACACCGAUAGUGAAGACAGCUUACUAGACUGUAACUGACGCUGAGGCACGAAAGUGUGGGGAUCAAACAGGA